This 225-nucleotide unclassified non-coding RNA is filed under the name Hevea brasiliensis (rubber tree). The record is from RNAcentral. Lineage: Eukaryota; Viridiplantae; Streptophyta; Magnoliopsida; Malpighiales; Euphorbiaceae.
GAAUUGCAUUUGCCAAAUCAGACAGAAAAUCAUCCAUUCCCUCUGAUCCAAGUGUCUCGUCAUUCUCCACAGUUGGAUCAACUUCCAUUGCAUACAAAUUGUUGAAUCCAUUGACAAGUGUAGGUGCCUUUGUAAAGCGUUGUUGAAAGGCGUCACUGAGAUUAUGAGCAGGGUCAGUAGAAAUGAUAAGAACUGAAGAUCUGACCUGAGAAAGAAGGACACCCA